This 300-nucleotide unclassified non-coding RNA is filed under the name uncultured Agaricomycetes. RNAcentral's name for it is "sequence contains 5.8S rRNA gene, ITS2". The stretch from base 1 to 71 matches the Rfam family "5.8S ribosomal RNA", at positions 84 to 154 of the family's 154-position model. The record is from RNAcentral. Lineage: Eukaryota; Fungi; Basidiomycota; Agaricomycetes.
GUGAGUCAUCGAAUCUUUGAACGCACCUUGCGCUCCUUGGUAUUCCGAGGAGCACGCCUGUUCGAGUGUCAUGAAGCUCUCAAGCGAGUCUUUUUAUUAAGACGAGUUUGGAUUUGAACUCUGCCGUGUAACAAACGGCUGGUUCUAAAAGUAUUAGCUGAUCCUAGUAAGGUUUUGGUUCUUACUUGACGUGAUAAUUAUCUAACGUCAAGGACAUUUCUUACUUCACAGUAAGAGAUGGCCAGAGUCUUGGUAAGGAUUGCUUCUAAUCGUCUUCGCUUGACAACAUUUUCAUAAUCU